ACUCCUGCGGGAGGCAGCAGUGGGGAAUAUUGGACAAUGGGCGCAAGCCUGAUCCAGCCAUGCCGCGUGAGUGAUGAAGGCCCUAGGGUUGUAAAGCUCUUUCACCGGUGAAGAUAAUGACGGUAACCGGAGAAGAAGCCCCGGCUAACUUCGUGCCAGCAGCCGCGGUAAUACGAAGGGGGCUAGCGUUGUUCGGAUUUACUGGGCGUAAAGCGCACGUAGGCGGACUAUUAAGUCAGGGGUGAAAUCCCGGGGCUCAACCCCGGAACUGCCUUUGAUACUUGUAGUCUUGAGUUCGAGAGAGGUGAGUGGAAUUCCGAGUGUAGAGGUGAAAUUCGUAGAUAUUCGGAGGAACACCAGUGGCGAAGGCGGCUCACUGGCUCGAUACUGACGCUGAGGUGCGAAAGCGUGGGGAGCAAACAGGAUUAGAAACCCGAGUAGUCCCAUG
Molecule: ribosomal RNA, 448 nt
Filed under: uncultured organism
Description: partial 16S ribosomal RNA
Rfam family: Bacterial small subunit ribosomal RNA
Source: RNAcentral